RNAcentral lists this ribosomal RNA (336 nucleotides) under Isochrysis galbana. Its description in RNAcentral is "partial Bacterial large subunit ribosomal RNA". It matches the Rfam family "Bacterial large subunit ribosomal RNA", at positions 1409 to 1747 of the family's 2925-position model. Lineage: Eukaryota; Haptophyta; Isochrysidales; Isochrysidaceae. The record is from RNAcentral.
GCGUAGUCGAUGGAAAACAGGUUAAUAUUCCUGUACCUCACAUAACUGCGAUGGGACGACGGAGAAGGCUAGGUCAUCCGGAGAUUGGUUGUUCCGGUAUAAGCGAGUAGGGAGUAUUCUUAGGCAAAUCCGGGAAUACAAUCCUGAGACGUAAUGUCGAGCCCCUUUUGGGGCGAAGUGAUUGAUGCCAUGCUUCCAAGAAAAAUCCCUAAGCUUCAGGUUAUGUAAGACCGUACCCCAAACCGACACAGGUGGGCUGGUAGAGUAUACCAAGGCGCUUGAGAGAACUAUGUUGAAGGAACUCGGCAAAAUGCUCCCGUAAGUUCGCGAGAAGGG